Molecule: ribosomal RNA, 468 nt
Filed under: uncultured bacterium
Lineage: Bacteria
Description: partial 16S ribosomal RNA
Rfam family: Bacterial small subunit ribosomal RNA
Source: RNAcentral
GACGAACGCUGGCGGCGUGCUUAACACAUGCAAGUCGAACGGAAAGGCCCUGCUUUUGUGGGGUGCUCGAGUGGCGAACGGGUGCGUAACACGUGAGUAACCUGCCCUUGUCUUUGUGAUAACUUCACGCAACUGGGGCUAAUACCGGAUAGGAGCUCCUGCUGCAUGGUGGGGGUUGGAAAGUGUCGGCGGUUGGGGAUGGACUCGCGGCUUAUCAGCUUGUUGGUGGGGUAGUUGCGUACCAAGGCUUUGACGGGUAGCCGGCCUGAGAGGGUGACCGGCCACAUUGGUACUGAGAUACGGCCCAGACUCCUACGGGAGGCAGCAGUGGGGAAUAUUGCACAAUGGGCGGAAGCCUGAUGCAGCAACGCCGCGUGCGGGAUGACGGCUUUCUGGUUGUAAACCGCUUUCGCCUGUGACGAAGCGUGAGUGACGGUAAUGAGUAAAGAAGCACCGGCUAACUACGUG